RNAcentral lists this microRNA (21 nucleotides) under Rosa chinensis. RNAcentral describes it as "sRNA RchiOBHm_Chr7g0223145". The record is from RNAcentral. Lineage: Eukaryota; Viridiplantae; Streptophyta; Magnoliopsida; Rosales; Rosaceae.
UGCUUGGACACUCUUCUUCUU